UCCUUUGACGUUAGCGGCGGACGGGUGAGUAACACGUGGGUAACCUACCUAUAAGACUGGGAUAACUUCGGGAAACCGGAGCUAAUACCGGAUAAUAUUUCGAACCGCAUGGUUCGAUAGUGAAAGGNGGUUUUGCUAUCACUUAUAGAUGGACCCGCGCCGUAUUAGCUAGUUGGUAAGGUAACGGCUUACCAAGGCGACGAUACGUAGCCGACCUGAGAGGGUGAUCGGCCACACUGGAACUGAGACACGGUCCAGACUCCUACGGGAGGCAGCAGCC
Molecule: ribosomal RNA, 280 nt
Filed under: uncultured Staphylococcus sp.
Lineage: Bacteria; Bacillati; Bacillota; Bacilli; Caryophanales; Staphylococcaceae
Description: partial 16S ribosomal RNA
Rfam family: Bacterial small subunit ribosomal RNA
Source: RNAcentral